UAUAUUUUAGUAUAGGAAGUACAUAGAUUUUUGAAAUCUACAGGUAAAGUUUGAUUCUUUAAAAUGUAA
RNAcentral lists this transfer RNA (69 nucleotides) under Oulema melanopus. RNAcentral's name for it is "tRNA-Gln". It matches the Rfam family "tRNA". From Rfam's summary of the family: Transfer RNA (tRNA) molecules are approximately 80 nucleotides in length. Their secondary structure includes four short double-helical elements and three loops (D, anti-codon, and T loops). The record is from RNAcentral. Lineage: Eukaryota; Metazoa; Arthropoda; Insecta; Coleoptera; Chrysomelidae.